This 65-nucleotide transfer RNA is filed under the name Elasmosoma sp. QL-2014. Its description in RNAcentral is "tRNA-Gly". The record is from RNAcentral. Lineage: Eukaryota; Metazoa; Arthropoda; Insecta; Hymenoptera; Braconidae.
AAUUAUAUAGUAUAAAAGUAUGUUUAAUUUCCAAUUAAAAGGUUUAAUUAUUAUUAAUAUAAAUA